This 433-nucleotide ribosomal RNA is filed under the name uncultured bacterium. RNAcentral describes it as "partial 16S ribosomal RNA". It matches the Rfam family "Bacterial small subunit ribosomal RNA", at positions 29 to 507 of the family's 1533-position model. The record is from RNAcentral.
AACGAACGCUGGCGGCAUGCCUAACACAUGCAAGUCGAACGAGACCUUCGGGUCUAGUGGCGCACGGGUGCGUAACGCGUGGGAACCUGCCCUUAGGUUCGGAAUAACUCCCCGAAAGGGGUGCUAAUACCGGAUAAUUUCUUCGGACCAAAGAUUUAUCGCCUUUGGAUGGGCCCGCGUUGGAUUAGCUAGUUGGUAGGGUAAAAGCCUACCAAGGCUACGAUCCAUAGCUGGUCUGAGAGGAUGAUCAGCCACACUGGGACUGAGACACGGCCCAGACUACUACGGGAGGGAGCAAUGGGGAAUAUUGGACAAUGGGGGAAAGCAUGAACCAGCAAUGCCGCGUGAGUGAUGAAGGCCUUAGGGUUGAAAAGCUCUUUUACCCGGGAUGAUAAUGACAGUACCGGGAGAAUAAGCUCCGGCUAACUCCGUG